Molecule: long non-coding RNA, 990 nt
Organism: Cercocebus atys (sooty mangabey)
Lineage: Eukaryota; Metazoa; Chordata; Mammalia; Primates; Cercopithecidae
Exons: 4
Source: RefSeq, a predicted model, not a curated record
CGCUGGCCACCGGACGGAAGUGCGUAACGGAAGUGCUGGCGGCCGUGUGUAAGACGCGGCCGGGCGUGCGGACUAUCGCGGGGCCUUCUCUGAGGAGGCUGCCUCAGUGAGGCAACCCUGACAAGUAGUGCCCGACCAGGGACCUGAACGAGGAAGGUCUGCCAGAGCAGAGAAAGUGAAACUGAUUAGAGGAACUAGGAACCCCUGGAAGGAAAAGUCUGCAGGUGGAGAAUAUAAGGAGAUGGACAAACCGUGUGGGUGCCCUCCAGGUGUGUGUGACCAUGGAAUGGGAGACCAGAGGGAUCCAUGGUAUUCAACCAUGGGCCUGUUCCCUCCAGUACGAGCCAUGAGCCAGCGGAAUCUGAAUGCGAAGACAGAACGAGGGCCGACCGGAGUCACAAUGACAGCCAACCCCAUAACAUGGGGACAGAUCAAGAAAACCACACAGGAAGCUGAGAAGCUGCUGGAGCGCCAGGGUCAGGCAAAAACCCCUGACUCCAUGUUCUUGGCCAUGCUAGCUGUAGUGUCCUGUGCGUCUAUAGGAUCAGGUGAACCACCAACCAGCAAUUGAAAGCUGCACAGCCUGAAAUUACCUUUAUUCAAUUAAUGCAAAAACAAAAAGGGGGAGAUGUUGGAGGCCGAAGGAAUGAGGGUCGUGACCAACUCAAUAUACCACUGGAGGCUCUAUGAGCGAACAGCAAACUGUUCUCAUGAAAGCAAGAUGCUGGCAAACUGACAAACUGUGUCUGCCACCAGAAGGAAUGCUGGGGGCAGUCAUGUCCCAGGUCCCAUGCUCCUUGAGGUUAUCUACAGGAACAUCUAGAACCUGUUGAACAAAGAAAGCAAUCAUGUGGGCCUGUGUUAAAUAGCUGACUGACAGUUACCCCUUCCUCCCUAUUCACUCUACCUAAUAAAUAUGAAGGGCUGUAAAAGCUCAGGGCCCUUGUUCCCUAGAAUCAAGGAGCCCCCUGACCCCUUCUUUCAAACAGA